RNAcentral lists this ribosomal RNA (459 nucleotides) under uncultured bacterium. RNAcentral describes it as "partial 16S ribosomal RNA". It matches the Rfam family "Bacterial small subunit ribosomal RNA", at positions 339 to 795 of the family's 1533-position model. The record is from RNAcentral.
CUACGGGUGGCUCCAGUAAGGAAUAUUGCGCAAUGGAGGCAACUCUGACGCAGCCAUGCCGCGUGCAGGAAGAAGGCCUUAUGGGUCGUAAACUGCUUUUAUUUAGGAAUAAACCCCCGAACGUGUUCGGGGCUGAAGGUACUAAACGAAUAAGCACCGGCUAACUCCGUGCCAGCAGCCGCGGUAAUACGGAGGGUGCAAGCGUUAUCCGGAUUUUUUGGGUUUAAAGGGUGCGCAGGCGGGCUAGUAAGUCAGUGGUGAAAUCCCGGGGCUCAACUCCGGAACUGCCAUUGAUACUGAUAGUCUUGAGUUUGGUUGAAGUGGGCGGAAUGUAGCAUGUAGCGGUGAAAUGCAUAGAUAUGCUACAGAACACCAAUCGCGAAGGCAGCUCACUAAGCCAAAACUGACGCUCAUGCACGAAAGCGUGGGGAUCAAACAGGAUUAGAUACCCGCGUAGUC